This 1050-nucleotide ribosomal RNA is filed under the name Arthrobacter sp. OTB91. Its description in RNAcentral is "bacterial SSU rRNA". It matches the Rfam family "Bacterial small subunit ribosomal RNA", at positions 371 to 1431 of the family's 1533-position model. Lineage: Bacteria; Bacillati; Actinomycetota; Actinomycetes; Micrococcales; Micrococcaceae. The record is from RNAcentral.
AUGGGCGCAAGCCUGAUGCAGCGACGCCGCGUGAGGGAUGACGGCCUUCGGGUUGUAAACCUCUUUCAGUAGGGAAGAAGCGAAAGUGACGGUACCUGCAGAAGAAGCGCCGGCUAACUACGUGCCAGCAGCCGCGGUAAUACGUAGGGCGCAAGCGUUAUCCGGAAUUAUUGGGCGUAAAGAGCUCGUAGGCGGUUUGUCGCGUCUGCCGUGAAAGUCCGGGGCUCAACUCCGGAUCUGCGGUGGGUACGGGCAGACUAGAGUGAUGUAGGGGAGACUGGAAUUCCUGGUGUAGCGGUGAAAUGCGCAGAUAUCAGGAGGAACACCGAUGGCGAAGGCAGGUCUCUGGGCAUUAACUGACGCUGAGGAGCGAAAGCAUGGGGAGCGAACAGGAUUAGAUACCCUGGUAGUCCAUGCCGUAAACGUUGGGCACUAGGUGUGGGGGACAUUCCACGUUUUCCGCGCCGUAGCUAACGCAUUAAGUGCCCCGCCUGGGGAGUACGGCCGCAAGGCUAAAACUCAAAGGAAUUGACGGGGGCCCGCACAAGCGGCGGAGCAUGCGGAUUAAUUCGAUGCAACGCGAAGAACCUUACCAAGGCUUGACAUGGACCGGACCGCCGCAGAAAUGUGGUUUCCCCUUUGGGGCCGGUUUACAGGUGGUGCAUGGUUGUCGUCAGCUCGUGUCGUGAGAUGUUGGGUUAAGUCCCGCAACGAGCGCAACCCUCGUUCUAUGUUGCCAGCGGUUCGGCCGGGGACUCAUAGGAGACUGCCGGGGUCAACUCGGAGGAAGGUGGGGACGACGUCAAAUCAUCAUGCCCCUUAUGUCUUGGGCUUCACGCAUGCUACAAUGGCCGGUACAAAGGGUUGCGAUACUGUGAGGUGGAGCUAAUCCCAAAAAGCCGGUCUCAGUUCGGAUUGGGGUCUGCAACUCGACCCCAUGAAGUCGGAGUCGCUAGUAAUCGCAGAUCAGCAACGCUGCGGUGAAUACGUUCCCGGGCCUUGUACACACCGCCCGUCAAGUCACGAAAGUUGGUAACACCCGAAGCCGGU